GAUGAACGCUGGCGGCGUGCCUAAUACAUGCAAGUCGAGCGAACAGACGAGGAGCUUGCUCCUCUGACGUUAGCGGCGGACGGGUGAGUAACACGUGGAUAACCUACUUAUAAGACUUGGAUAACUACGGGAAACCGGAGCUACUACCGGAUAAUAUAUUGAACCGCAUGGUUCAAUGGUGAAAGACGGUUUUGCUGUCACUUAUAGAUGGAUCCGCGCCGCAUUAGCUAGUUGGUAAGGUAACGGCUUACCAAGGCAACGAUGCGUAGCCGACCUGAGAGGGUGGUCGGCCGCACUGGAACUGCGACACGGCCGAGCAUCCUACGGGAGGCAGCAGUAGGGAAUCUUCCGGAAUGGGCGGAAGCCUGACGGAGCAACGACGCGUGAGUGAUGAAGGUCUUCUGAUCGUAAAACUCUGUUAUUAGGGAAGAACAAAUGUGUAAGUAACUAUGCACGUCUUGACGGUACCUAAUCAGAAAGCCACGGCUAACUACGUG
Molecule: ribosomal RNA, 497 nt
Filed under: uncultured bacterium
Lineage: Bacteria
Description: partial 16S ribosomal RNA
Rfam family: Bacterial small subunit ribosomal RNA
Source: RNAcentral